RNAcentral lists this ribosomal RNA (446 nucleotides) under uncultured bacterium. Its description in RNAcentral is "partial 16S ribosomal RNA". It matches the Rfam family "Bacterial small subunit ribosomal RNA", at positions 338 to 795 of the family's 1533-position model. The record is from RNAcentral.
CCUACGGGAGGCUGCAGUCGAGAAUCAUUCACAAUGGGGGAAACCCUGAUGGUGCGACGCCGCGUGGGGGAAUGAAGGUCUUCGGAUGGUAAACCCCUGUCAUGUGGGAGCAAAUUAAAAAGAUAGUACCACAAGAGGAAGAGCCGGCUAACUCUGUGCCAGCAGCCGCGGUAAUACAGAGGUCUCAAGCGUUGUUCGGAAUCACUGGGCGUAAAGCGUGCGUAGGCUGUUUCGUAAGUCGUGUGUGAAAGGCGCGGGCUCAACCCGCGGACGGCACAUGAUACUGCGAGACUAGAGUAAUGGAGGGGGAACCGGAAUUCUCGGUGUAGCAGUGAAAUGCGUAGAUAUCGAGAGGAACACUCGUGGCGAAGGCGGGUUCCUGGACAUUAACUGACGCUGAGGCACGAAGGCCAGGGGAGCGAAAGGGAUUAGAUACCCGUGUAGUC